RNAcentral lists this ribosomal RNA (233 nucleotides) under uncultured bacterium. RNAcentral describes it as "partial 16S ribosomal RNA". It matches the Rfam family "Bacterial small subunit ribosomal RNA", at positions 104 to 334 of the family's 1533-position model. The record is from RNAcentral.
CGGGGUGGAGUAACGCGUGGGUAACCUGCCUCAUACAGGGGGAUAACGAUUGGAAACGAUUGCUAAUACCGCAUAAGCGCACAGUACCACAUGGUACAGUGUGAAAAACUCCGGUGGUAUGAGAUGGACCCGCGUCUGAUUAGCUAGUUGGUGAGGUAACGGCCCACCAAGGCAACGAUCAGUAGCCGACCUGAGAGGGUGACCGGCCACAUUGGGACUGAGACACGGCCCAG